RNAcentral lists this ribosomal RNA (793 nucleotides) under uncultured bacterium. Its description in RNAcentral is "bacterial SSU rRNA". It matches the Rfam family "Bacterial small subunit ribosomal RNA", at positions 8 to 796 of the family's 1533-position model. The record is from RNAcentral.
AGAGUUUGAUCAUGGCUCAGAUUGAACGCUGGCGGCAUGCCUUACACAUGCAAGUCGAGCGGCAGCGCGGGGGCAACCCUGGCGGCGAGCGGCGAACGGGUGAGUAAUGCAUCGGAACGUGUCCUCUUGUGGGGGGAUAACCAGUCGAAAGACUGGCUAAUACCGCAUGAGAUCGAGAGAUGAAAGCAGGGGACCGCAAGCCUUGCGCGAGAGGAGCGGCCGAUGCCGGAUUAGCUAGUUGGUGGGGUAACGGCCUACCAAGGCGACGAUCCGUAGCUGGUCUGAGAGGACGACCAGCCACACUGGGACUGAGACACGGCCCAGACUCCUACGGGAGGCAGCAGUGGGGAAUUUUGGACAAUGGGGGCAACCCUGAUCCAGCCAUGCCGCGUGUGUGAAGAAGGCCUUCGGGUUGUAAAGCACUUUCGGACGGAACGAAAUCGCGCGAGUUAAUAGUUCGCGUGGAUGACGGUACCGUAAGAAGAAGCACCGGCUAACUACGUGCCAGCAGCCGCGGUAAUACGUAGGGUGCGAGCGUUAAUCGGAAUUACUGGGCGUAAAGUGUGCGCAGGCGGCGCUGCAAGUCGAGUGUGAAAUCCCCGAGCUUAACUUGGGAAUUGCGCUCGAAACUACGGCGCUGGAGUAUGGCAGAGGAAGGUGGAAUUCCACGUGUAGCGGUGAAAUGCGUAGAGAUGUGGAGGAACACCGAUGGCGAAGGCAGCCUUCUGGGCCAAUACUGACGCUCAUGCACGAAAGCGUGGGGAGCAAACAGGAUUAGAUACCCUAGUAGUCC